RNAcentral lists this long non-coding RNA (1158 nucleotides) under Equus asinus (donkey). RNAcentral describes it as "lncRNA (ENSEASG00005037228.1)". Lineage: Eukaryota; Metazoa; Chordata; Mammalia; Perissodactyla; Equidae. The record is from RNAcentral.
GGGAUUGGAGGUGGCGGCGGGGCCGGUCCCCGAGGUUGCGGAAGAGAGUGAGGGGCGGGGCCUGCGAGGGGCGGGGCCUAGUCUCCUUGGCAACCCGGAUCAGGACGUGGGAUUGGAGCUGGCGGCGGGGCCGGUCCCCGAGGUUGCGGAAGAGGACGAGGGGCGGGGCCUGCGCGGGGCGGGGUCGUUCCCCUCCUCUUCUCCAAAACCCAUAAAGACCCCCGCUGCCCUCAUUCUUUCUCCCGGGUGAGGUCCCACUAUUCUGUCCCCUCUGCGUCCUCACUGCUCCUGGGUCGCCGGGCGCGCCCUCACCCCCGGGCCUUUGCACUGGCUGUGCCUCCGCCGGGUGCACCGUUCCCAGACACCAGCGUGGCUCCCUUCCUCACCUCUUUCAAGUCUUCGCCCAAACGUCUCACCUGCCGAGAAGCCGUCCUCAGCUGCGCUCGUUUCCACCUGAUAAGCUGUAGGGCCGGAACGUUGCAUGGGGGUUGUGACGGAGCCACGAUGAACGUGGUGCACUGGCAGCGUUGAGCGCCCUGAGGCUCCACGUGUUCGCCGAUUUGGGUUGGAAUCAGGCCUCGGGGAGCGGCCUCUGGGGCUGGAGAGAAGCCACAGCCCCUCCCGGCCGAAUCCCCACAGGAGGGAACAUUCCUACAGGUGUGAAUGUUCUGAUGGGUGUGAAUUCCUAUGGGUGUAAACAUCAUCACAGGUGUGAAUAUUCCUGCAGGUGUGUUUCCAAAGGUGGCGGCCUCGUCCCCGAGCCAGGCGCACACUCACCAAGUCAGGGGAUCCGCGGCCGCAGACACGAAGCCACGGCUAGUCCACCCGAGGCCCAGGGAGGCUGCCGCUCGCCCACGGUGGCAGCUUCAAGGCUUGGCGGAGGCUGCCUCCUGGGAAAGGACGGGGGGGGGUCCCUCCACCUCCGUCCUGGCAGGGACAAGACCGUCCUUUAUUCACUCAAUGACAACUCAGCGGGGCACUGAGCAUUGCCAUCACCCCAAGAAUGGCCCCAGACACGUCUCCAAUUUUAGCCCAGAGAGACUCAUGUCGGACUCCUGAUCUCCCGGAUUAGAAACUAAUAAAUUUCUGCUAUUUCCAGCAGCUCAAUUUGUGGUGAUUUGUCAGAGCUGCAACAGGAGAUGAAUACAUCGAGCUCUC